Molecule: non-coding RNA, 720 nt
Organism: Rattus norvegicus (Norway rat)
Lineage: Eukaryota; Metazoa; Chordata; Mammalia; Rodentia; Muridae
Source: RefSeq, a predicted model, not a curated record
AGCAAACAGAAUUUAAUGAAGUGUAAACAGAUCGUGCCUAGAGACAGUGAAUGCUUCCGUCUCCUUUAGACGUCAUAAUUAGUCAUAAGUGUGCUUCUUUUCUGUCACCUACAAGGCCUCACUUGAUUUUCCUCUGCUUUUUAAAAUCUUCUCUUUGUCCUGGAGGCUGAUGUCAUUAUGCAGGAUGCAUUGUUCUGCCUGGCUUCCCUCAGGCUGUUAGAUCUAAGCUCGCCUGCUCUUCCUGGACAUUUACAGUAUGACCUUGCUUGCCUUUCAUGCUGGAAAGCACAAACAGAGCAGAUGGACCCAAGUCCCAGCCCCAGCUUCUGCAAAUGGGGUCUGCGGUUUUUAAAUUAACAAAUGGAAAAGAUAAUGGGUUUACAAGGCCGUUGCGAAGAUGACACCGUGUGUAAAACAGCAGGAAACAAUGUAGAGAAAGUCUUCUGUAAGGUUCUGUGUGUGUUGGACUGUUCGACACUCUGUACUAGAGCACCCCACUCUUCAACCCUGGUUCAGGUGACCUGGAGACAAGGAUUGGCAGUUACAAGCAUUUGUUCUUUUACAGUACUGGAAUUUCCUUCCCAUCAAUCACUUUGGGCAUCUCCCUACCACCUGAGCCACAGUCUCAGGAGCCACAGACCUCUUCUGGCCUUUUAAGGCACCCUUAUAACACACAAACACACACACAUGGAAAAUAGAAUAAAUAUAUAUAUUUAAAAA